Phalacrocorax carbo (great cormorant) is the source of this 3423-nucleotide non-coding RNA. The record is from RefSeq and is a predicted model, not a curated record. NCBI's taxonomy places the organism in Eukaryota, Metazoa, Chordata, Aves, Suliformes, Phalacrocoracidae.
CGUGAUGGAAUUUUAUUCCUUGUUACUUCUACUGUCUGCGUUGCAUUACUGGGAGAUGACAGACAGAUCCAGUCUUCGCUCAUAUUCUGGACAAACAUGUGAAAAAUGAAGUUUUUUCUGCAUGAAGUUGCUAAAAAAUACUAACAUUGGGAUUUCCUUCUGCCAGCACAUCAAGGGAUGAACCCCACUGAAAGAUCAGGAGUGAUUAUGGAGUGGGAUAGAGCUUGUCCCUGAAAGGCCUAAGUAUGUCUACCGAGCAUCCGAGGUCUCUCCCCAGUUGUCUGAAGUUAGACACCAACCUAUGUGGCAGGAUCAGGACCCUGGGCAAGGAAGAUAAAUAUAAGACAUUAAAAGAGAGGAAAUGUCUAUGGAUAAUAUUUGUAAGUCCUCAAGAAUGUGCUACAUCUGCAGAAAUCCAGUGGUUCGCUCUUUCCCAUCCCCUCUUUUGUUGUGGUCACAUCCUCUCAACUAUAUUGAAUUUGGAGGCUUGGCUGCACUUGACCACGAUAUAUGGCAAGUUUAGAGGCAGCAGAAAAAAGAACCCCUAAAAAGACUUUUGAGGACUGGAGAGAAAUAAAGGAAUCUCUAAUACAAGAAGUAAACAUUCAGGGAGGAUAAAUGAUGUCAUCAGAUCAUGAAUGAAGUAAGAUAGGCUCAGCUGCAAUGACUGAAGGCUCUCUGGAAAGAGGGAAGAUGAAGCCAGAGAUACACGAUUGGGAAAGAUUUCAACUGGUGUGACUUCAAAGAAAGGAGAAAAUGAGAUGCUCCGUUAGAAAACACCAUCCGGAAGUGACAGAUUAAGCUAUUUGAAAUGAAGGCAAUUGUGAAUGAUUUGGGGGAUAUUUUAUUUCAUGCGUAAAUUGGAUCAUUGGCUGAAAAAUAAUCACUUGGUCCAUCAAAGAUAUAACCCAGAAAUGAGGUGGAGAUAGAAGUUAACAGAGGAUGAGUAACAGAGCCUGAGCAGGACAAGAGAUGAAGAAGAGCUGCAGUAGCAAGAGGACUUCUGUUUAAAAUUGAAGAAAGGGAGAACUGAAGAAAGCAAGCCUUGGAUUGCAUCCACUCAGCCCCGGAAGACAGAGGGGUCUACUCGUCUUGUACAAAAGCUACUGGCAGCCCAGCGCUCCGUGGGGCCUGACACGCACAUCGGGACUGAUAAGACGUGUAAUGUCUGGCAGGAGUCGGGCAGAGUCUGACAGUUGCUCAGGUGCCGCGCGACGACGGGGCCACCUGAACUCCCCAGCCCUCGGGUGGCCGAGGCGGUAGUCCCUCCUCGGGGAAGGGUUCAGCUCUCAGGCCGGUGCCUGCCUGAGGUGCUGACGUGAGGUGCCUCUGCACCCUGGCUCUUUGUUCAUCAUGCUGAGGUGCCUGCGCUCGCCGGGGGUUAGAGUCUGGCUCUGCUGCCAGGACGGUUUUGAACUGUGCCCUCUGACUGUUUCUGUAUUUCUAUCUUUAUAUUGCAGUUCUGUCACUGUCACUGAAACUGUGGUCUGAUGGGAGUAAAGACAUAAGAGAACACAGCUUGAUGGGUACAUGGAGGUCAAAAUCCUGCAGUCAGCUCUGCCAGUGCGUGGCGAGCAGCUGCACUAAGCCCUUGGCAGGGCUGAGGAUAUAGGGGGUUUUUUGCUAAGCUCAAAGGAUUUCUCUCUAGAGCCAUUAAUGUUUCGACUUCUCUGUGCAGGAUCCAAGAGCAAGCCGUUUUCAUGUGGAUUAAUGCGGUUUUCGCUAUUAGAAAAAAUGGCAAAACUUGCCCGGCACCAUGACUGGGCUUUCCAGCCCUGGUCCGGUUCUUACUCGAUGUCGCUAGUAGUCACAGCUUGCACGGGUGAAUUUUAUUGCACCAAAAAUUCUAAAUCUUUCCUUUAGACUUACUGCCUCAUAAUGAGGGUUAUUCUAAUUACUAUGAUAUAUCAUUUCUACUUUGCUUUAUCUGUGGACUCUGUCACAUUCUCUAUGAUCCCCAUAUGAAUUAAAUAUCCCCAAUCUUGUUUUUCUUUUCAGCAGUUCAGUAUACGAAAGGCUGAGUAUCUGUUAAUUGGGGCACUUGUUCUCUAGAGAUUUUGCUGGUUUUGCUCAAUAUGAAAGAUGAUGACAAUUAAGUUACCUUGGAGAUACGGGAAACAUUUCAGUGUAUGUUAGCUCAUGAUGACUUAAAAAAAACCAAAAAAGUUUAUAGUUAUAUAAUUAUUUUAUCAGUUGGGCGGGGCGAAGUUUCAGCGCUUAGACUUCUGGCUUUUCAGUGAUGCCAGUGGAAACUAGGUGUUCAAAUCCCGCCAAAGGCUAACUCCCUCGGUACUAGCCCAGUCGAUAACACCUGCCGUAACCCCAAGGCAGGCUAUAAUCCCUGGUUUAUGGCUACUUGGAACGUGUCUUACAGCACUGUUGCUUUACUGCAGCUGAUCAAAUAGCACAAAGAAGGAGACACAGCUGAUGUGAUUCUUCAUUUAUUUAUUUGUGUACGGAGGGGCACUACUUGAUUUGCUGUCAUUUCCAAGUGCAGGCUAGACUGGUGAUCUUACCACUGUUCCCAGUGGAUCGGUUACAGCUAGGGUGAAGUUGGCAAGAUAACUGGAACGGCAAAAUUAGCCCAGUAUAAAAUUUGUUCCCAAGUGGCUGCUGGUGUGACGCAAGAUUCAGGUGUGAGUGACGAUUUAUAAAAGCUAAAAUUUAAAAACCUGUUAGUGACAUGAAGAUUUUAUCCAGUCCUUAAGCACUGUCUACUCAUGUUUCAUUAUUCCCGUUAAAAAUGAUGUGGUCAGUUUGAAAAGACAACAUGGUGAGAGUUUUGUUUUGUGUUCUGCUUUAAACAGACCACAAAAAGCUGUUUAUGAACAUCCCCCUUCCCAGACCAAUUACUCCAGUAUUGUAACUGUAUUACAGAACACUGUUUGCAAGCAAUCCCUUACCUAAAGGUGUCCAGCUGUAUCUCAUAUUCCAAUUUUUCAGCAUGCCUUGCAGUAAACAAAUAGUGUAGAUGCUUUUGCUUGUCUUGUUUUGGACGGUUAGGCAUCAAAAGUACAUCCAGCCACAGCGAUGAUGGUGAGUAUCCCACAAUUGCAUGUGGAAACAGUAAGUUUCAAAAUGAGUCAUAAAACAUACUGUCAUAUAAUGUCGAUUCGCACUGGACUAGAGUAACUUACUUGCUGCUGUAACCACAGGAGCAGCGAAGGUCAUCAAGCACUGGGAGGUGGAUGAGUAGAGUCCGGCCAGAGGCGUGGCGGUGGAGGAAGAGCAUCCCAAUAGUUUUACAGCAGGAGCAAUGACCCUUGCUUUGUUUCUGCAGGAAACGUGCAUCAUUUUUUGAGCCAGAGCCGACAAUCUUAUUCAGCUAGGGGCCUGUCCAGAUGGGCUGCGCAGCAAGGCGGGCACCUGCAUAGCAUGCCACAGCCUGGCCUUUCCCCUGCAGCACGACCUCAGUUCUGUUAA